GCCCCCUUAGCUCAGACGGCAGAGCACAUCCAUGGUAAGGAUGGGGUCGUCGGUUCGAUUCCGACAGGGGGCUCCA
This 76-nucleotide transfer RNA is filed under the name Acidithrix ferrooxidans. RNAcentral describes it as "tRNA-Thr". It matches the Rfam family "tRNA". Rfam says of the family: Transfer RNA (tRNA) molecules are approximately 80 nucleotides in length. Their secondary structure includes four short double-helical elements and three loops (D, anti-codon, and T loops). Lineage: Bacteria; Bacillati; Actinomycetota; Acidimicrobiia; Acidimicrobiales; Acidimicrobiaceae. The record is from RNAcentral.